ACUAUAUACAACGCCCCGCCCAAACAUAACUUUGUGUAACAGUUUCUAUUGCACCAAAUGAUGUUCGGAUUCAAGAUGAUUACGUCGUUAAAUUAAUAUUACAAAAAUUAUACAUAUAUUUCUAUUAUAAUAAUAAAAAUUUAAUUAAUAAUAUAAAAUUCAUCAAUAAAAGAACUAUUUAAGAGGAAUCUUUAAAAUUUAUAAAAUGUCCAUUUUAGACGAGCGAGAGGAUUAUCUGAAGAAUCCCUUCUUUGUGAAGCAUGAAUAUGGUGAUUUUACACCAUUUUAUGUCACUGUCACUAUCUGUUCUCUACUAUUUGCAUUUUUGUGCAUUCUGAACAUUGGAUUUUGUUGUUCGCGUCAUCGAUAUUAUUGGCAAAGUCCUCAUACUGGGAACAGAUGGAUUCAACCAUUAUGGACAGUAUUACCGCAUAAAACACCACCUUUGGAUUUAACUGAAUUAGAACCAGGACGUGCUUUUGAGGCACAAGAGAAACAAGAGGUUUUACAAUAUCACGAUCCAAAGCCAUAUGGAACUGCACCACAAACACAAGAAUAUAUGGAAAUGCAAAAACGUGAGAGUGAAAUUUAAUUAAAUAUUAAUUUUGAUAUUAUAUAUAUAAGUGAACAAACAUUCAAAAGUCGAAUUCAAGUAUUCAGUUAAAAACAUUGUAUAAAUUGAUCUAUAUAUAAUAGCCAAAGCUAAAAAAUAACUGUACAAAGU
RNAcentral lists this unclassified non-coding RNA (724 nucleotides) under Apis dorsata (giant honeybee). Its description in RNAcentral is "uncharacterized LOC102674164, transcript variant X1". Lineage: Eukaryota; Metazoa; Arthropoda; Insecta; Hymenoptera; Apidae. The record is from RNAcentral.